GAGGUUAAGCGACUAAGCGUACACGGUGGAUGCCCUGGCAGUCAGAGGCGAUGAAGGACGUGCUAAUCUGCGAUAAGCGCCGGUAAGGUGAUAUGAACCGUUAUAACCGGCGAUUUCCGAAUGGGGAAACCCAGUGUGACUCGUCACACUAUCAUUAACUGAAUCCAUAGGUUAAUGAGGCGAACCGGGGGAACUGAAACAUCUAAGUACCCCGAGGAAAAGAAAUCAACCGAGAUUCCCCCAGUAGCGGCGAGCGAACGGGGAGGAGCCCAGAGCCUGAAUCAGCAUGUGUGUUAGUGGAAGCGUCUGGAAAGGCGCGCGAUACAGGGUGACAGCCCCGUACACAAAAGCGCAUGUG
This 358-nucleotide ribosomal RNA is filed under the name Salmonella enterica subsp. enterica serovar Kentucky. RNAcentral's name for it is "bacterial LSU rRNA". It matches the Rfam family "Bacterial large subunit ribosomal RNA", at positions 1 to 393 of the family's 2925-position model. The record is from RNAcentral. Lineage: Bacteria; Pseudomonadati; Pseudomonadota; Gammaproteobacteria; Enterobacterales; Enterobacteriaceae.